Molecule: ribosomal RNA, 16 nt
Filed under: Mallocybe isabellina
Lineage: Eukaryota; Fungi; Basidiomycota; Agaricomycetes; Agaricales; Inocybaceae
Description: partial large subunit ribosomal RNA
Source: RNAcentral
CUGAUCUCAAAUCAGG